Molecule: non-coding RNA, 189 nt
Filed under: Sporobacter termitidis
Lineage: Bacteria; Bacillati; Bacillota; Clostridia; Eubacteriales; Oscillospiraceae
Also listed under: 1 other name
Source: RNAcentral
AAAUGAAUAGCUUGUGUUAAUGCACAAACGUGCUGGCAACAACAAUUGCCAAGGGAACACGGAUGAAAUUUCCGGACUAUCCCAGUAACCGUGAAGCGGACGAACGGGCACCAUGUCACUGUUUAAGCGGGAAGACGCCCAAGUAGGAUGAAGCCAAGUCGGGAGACCUGUUACCACAUGAACUCCUGG